UACCUCUUAGUUUGUUGAUUUCUUAAAAAUCCUUUACAUUCUUCCACUGGUUAGCUUUUCCUUUUUAUUUUUCACUGAUUAGCUUGUAAAUCUUUCUGUGUAGGUUGUCACUUGUGGAAGCAUUCCUCUUGAAUCUUCUUUCCAGAGGAUACCAAGAUGUGUAUUUGUUUCCACAGAAUUGUAUGAAUACAGGGGAUGCGGUGGAAAACCAGCAAAACCCAGACAUGCUUUCUUCUCCUGGGGAUGCAGGCAUUCAGAGAAGAAUGUGGCAGAUUUCUAUAUAUCAGACUUUCAGACUGGUUUGAGAGCUCUAGUGAAAGCAGGCUAUGGAGCUAAGGUUGCUCCAUUUGUUAAGCCAACUACAGUUGUCAAUGUGUCAAAGGAUAACAAAGAGCUAUCCCCAAACUUUCUACGCUGGCUUGCUGAUCGAAGUCUAUCAAGUGAUGACCGUACAAUGCUCCUGAAAGAAGGGACUUCAUUUUGGCAAGAAGCUAGGAAACCACAACUAUAGCUUUUCCACACUCGAAAGUCAUAAAAUUUCAGAUUUCAGUGUCAUGCAUGGUAUGAACUGAAAUCGUGAAAUUUUGAAUUGUUUACCUAUAGAAAAGCAGUACCUAAAGUGUUCGAGAAUUGGAAUUGCUAUAUACUUGUUUCUUUACCUUCUUGAAAAUAUCAA
Olea europaea var. sylvestris is the source of this 676-nucleotide long non-coding RNA. RefSeq lists it as uncharacterized. NCBI's taxonomy places the organism in Eukaryota, Viridiplantae, Streptophyta, Magnoliopsida, Lamiales, Oleaceae. The record is from RefSeq and is a predicted model, not a curated record. The transcript has 3 exons.